GAGAUUCCUAUAAAGAGGAUGAAGAUGACUUAGUUACAAGUUAACACAAUCCAGUACUCUACAAGGAGAGACAAAAUUAUUGCUUUUUUCAAGGUGAUUACUAGAAUUUAACAGAAAAACAAACAUGUACCUCUAAAAAAAGAUCCUGCAUUUACAGUUCUCAUGUCUCCAGCAUUAAUUACUCAAUCAUGCCAACCUCCAGUUUUUUGUCAUACUUCUACCCGCUUAAGCUUUAUAAAGCUUUCUAAAUGGUGGGCUCAAACCAAGAAAGUAUCUGGAGUUGCCAGAUGUCCAAGACCUUUCUUAACAUGAUUCCAACCAACUUUUUGGAGUUUAGCCCCAUCUAUCUUCUGCCUAUGGGCAUACCUCACCUUGUUUUUAAUACGAAACUAAAAGGGUAAAGGAUAAAAAUAUACAUUUUAAAAUCAAAUGGAUUAAUUGGAAGCAAUUCUUCCUUGCGUGACUUGUCUCUGCAGCAUUGAAGAUUCAUCUGUUUGAAUGUGAAGGACUCCAAUACCAACCUAUCUCCUUUGAAGAAGUAGGUUUUCCCAACAUCCUCCCACCAAAUUGCUGAAUCAAUACCAUGGGGAGGAAUUCCGAUUCCAAGUGUUAUCAAAUCUUGAGGAUACCCUGGCUGGAGAGUGGUGUCCUUGAAGACCCAGAACUUGUUACCUGUACAAAA
Molecule: long non-coding RNA, 682 nt
Organism: Alligator mississippiensis (American alligator)
Lineage: Eukaryota; Metazoa; Chordata; Crocodylia; Alligatoridae
Exons: 2
Source: RefSeq, a predicted model, not a curated record